AACGCACAUUGCACUCUAUUUCGGUAGAGUAUGCCUGUUUGAGAAUCUAAAGUAUUUAUUUUCGGUGUUUUUGUACUAGUACAAUCACGCCGAGAGAUAUGAGCUUUCCGGCCUUUGGGUAGGUAGCUUGAAAUCAAUAGCCGGUUUAGCCUUGUUAAUGCCUGAAGCCUUACAAAGUCGACUGAAACGUAUUUGAAUGGAACCUCGGUUCUUUAAUAAUGCUUACUAUGCGGCAGUGAGGCCUAGUUAUCAGGGGUAGGUCAGUCCAAAAAUUUAAAGGUAACCUUUCGGGGUUAGCUUGAACCAUGGUCUCAAAUCAGGUAGGAAUACCCGCUGAACUUAA
RNAcentral lists this unclassified non-coding RNA (343 nucleotides) under uncultured fungus. Its description in RNAcentral is "partial contains ITS1, 5.8S rRNA and ITS2". Lineage: Eukaryota; Fungi. The record is from RNAcentral.